This 343-nucleotide long non-coding RNA is filed under the name Elaeis guineensis (African oil palm). Its description in RNAcentral is "long non-coding RNA (EGUI_LNC026744)". Lineage: Eukaryota; Viridiplantae; Streptophyta; Magnoliopsida; Arecales; Arecaceae. The record is from RNAcentral.
AGCUUUUUAGUUGAAUAUUUUUUAACUCAAAUUUGACCUGAAAAGUUGUUUGAGUUAUUUAAGUUUGACUUGAGCAGAGUAACAAUUAGUAAAAUAUUGAUUCAAGCAUUUGCACCCCUGCCUACAAAUAGUAAAAUAUGGCUAAUAAGAAAUUUGUCCUUUGAGUCAAGAGAAAUUCUUGGUGUACCACUUAGAAAAUCUAAUGUGGAGUGCACUACUUCACUCUAUUGGACCAUAUAGCUAUCAUUUUUCAAUGCAUAUUUAAUGUCUGUAGUUCUACUUUUUCGUUUGAAAUUUUAAAUGAUAAAAAUACUUCUUUCCUUUUGAAAAAAUUAUAGCAUCC